Molecule: ribosomal RNA, 431 nt
Filed under: uncultured bacterium
Lineage: Bacteria
Description: bacterial SSU rRNA
Rfam family: Bacterial small subunit ribosomal RNA
Source: RNAcentral
ACGAACGCUGGCGGCAGGCCUAACACAUGCAAGUCGAACGCCGUAGCAAUACGGAGUGGCAGACGGGUGAGUAACGCGUGGGAAUAUCCCCCUCAGUACGGAAUAGCUCAGGGAAACUUGGGGUAAUACCGUAUACGUCCGUGAGGAGAAAGAUUUAUCGCUGAGGGAUUAGCCCGCGUAGGAUUAGCUAGUUGGUGAGGUAAUGGCUCACCAAGGCGACGAUCCUUAGCUGGUCUGAGAGGACGACCAGCCACACUGGGACUGAGACACGGCCCAGACUCCUACGGGAGGCAGCAGUGGGGAAUAUUGGACAAUGGGCGAAAGCCUGAUCCAGCCAUGCCGCGUGAGUGAUGAAGGCCUUAGGGUUGUAAUGCUCUUUUGGCGGGGACGAUAAUGACGGUACCCGCAGAAUAAGCCCCGGCUAACUUCGU